Oryza glumipatula is the source of this 203-nucleotide non-coding RNA. NCBI's taxonomy places the organism in Eukaryota, Viridiplantae, Streptophyta, Magnoliopsida, Poales, Poaceae. The record is from Rfam.
UUUAAGUGCAACCAUAAGUUUCUGUGCCUAUCUUUAAUCGUCUGUCUUAUUUGAAUUUUUUUAUAAUUAGUAUUUUUGUUGUUAUGAGAUGAUAAACAUGAAUAAUACUUUAUACGUGACUUAUGUUUUUAAAAUUUUACACAAAAUUUUUAAAUAAGACGGACGGUUAAAGUUACGCACGAAAAAUCAUUGCUGCACUUAAA